AGUGAACGCUGGCGGUAGGCCUAACACAUGCAAGUCGAACGGCAGCACAGUAAGAGCUUGCUCUUACGGGUGGCGAGUGGCGGACGGGUGAGGAAUACAUCGGAAUCUACUUUUUCGUGGGGGAUAACGUAGGGAAACUUACGCUAAUACCGCAUACGACCUACGGGUGAAAGCAGGGGAUCUUCGGACCUUGCGCGAUUGAAUGAGCCGAUGUCGGAUUAGCUAGUUGGCGGGGUAAAGGCCCACCAAGGCGACGAUCCGUAGCUGGUCUGAGAGGAUGGUCAGCCACCCUGGAACUGAGACACGGUCCAGACUCCUACGGGAGGCAGCAGUGGGGAAUAUUGGACAAUGGGCGCAAGCCUGAUCCAGCCAUACCGCGUGGGUGAAGAAGGCGUUCGGGUUGUAAAGCCCUUUUGUUGGGAAAGAAAAGCAGCAGGUUAAUACCCCGCUGUUCUGACGGUACCCAAAGAAUAAGCACCGGCUAACUUCGUG
RNAcentral lists this ribosomal RNA (492 nucleotides) under uncultured bacterium. RNAcentral describes it as "partial 16S ribosomal RNA". It matches the Rfam family "Bacterial small subunit ribosomal RNA", at positions 29 to 507 of the family's 1533-position model. The record is from RNAcentral.